AAGGUGGGGAUGACGUCAAGUCAGCAUGACCUUUAUAUCCAGGGCUACACACACGCUACAAUGGCCAGUACAAUGGGUUGCCAAGCCGCGAGGCGGAGCCAAUCCUAAAAAGCUGGCCUCAGUUCAGAUUGCAGUCUGCAACUCGACUGCAUGAAGUUGGAGUUGCUAGUAACCGCAGGUCAGCAAUACUGCGGUGAAUACGUUCCCGGGGAUU
RNAcentral lists this ribosomal RNA (214 nucleotides) under uncultured Anaerolineaceae bacterium. RNAcentral's name for it is "partial 16S ribosomal RNA". It matches the Rfam family "Bacterial small subunit ribosomal RNA", at positions 1170 to 1378 of the family's 1533-position model. Lineage: Bacteria; Bacillati; Chloroflexota; Anaerolineae; Anaerolineales; Anaerolineaceae. The record is from RNAcentral.